This 492-nucleotide ribosomal RNA is filed under the name uncultured bacterium. Its description in RNAcentral is "partial 16S ribosomal RNA". It matches the Rfam family "Bacterial small subunit ribosomal RNA", at positions 29 to 507 of the family's 1533-position model. The record is from RNAcentral.
AGUGAACGCUGGCGGUAGGCCUAACACAUGCAAGUCGAACGGCAGCACAGUAAGAGCUUGCUCUUACGGGUGGCGAGUGGCGGACGGGUGAGGAAUACAUCGGAAUCUACUUUUUCGUGGGGGAUAACGUAGGGAAACUUACGCUAAUACCGCAUACGACCUACGGGUGAAAGCAGGGGAUCUUCGGACCUUGCGCGAUUGAAUGAGCGGAUGUCGGAUUAGCUAGUUGGCGGGGUAAAGGCCCACCAAGGCGACGAUCCGUAGCUGGUCUGAGAGGAUGAUCAGCCACACUGGAAAUGAGACACGGUCCAGACUCCUACGGGAGGCAGCAGUGGGGAAUAUUGGACAAUGGGCGCAAGCCUGAUCCAGCCAUACCGCGUGGGUGAAGAAGGCCUUCGGGUUGUAAAGCCCUUUUGUUGGGAAAGAAAAGCAGCAGGUUAAUACCCCGCUGUUCUGACGGUACCCAAAGAAUAAGCACCGGCUAACUUCGUG